CCGGAUUCGCCGACCAUAAAGGAGUUUAGCGCGUAAAGUCGAGGGCAGACAGCGAAACGGGUGGAUCGAGCGAGGUAACGAAAGAUUGAAAAGAGGGGAAAACGAAGAGACGCGAAGAGGAGAUUGGAAAUCCACGGACGCGUGUACGGCCUGCGGCUGGUCUCUCGGAUGCACCGGUUUGCAGUUCCGCCACUGAUUGGCACCGCGGACGGGGAAUGGCGGUCGCUUUUGUGCGCGUGCACACGUACGACGUGCGGACGCGUGCGCGCGCAAAACCUACACACGCGCCACCUGGUUUGGCAACACGGCCGGUGCAAAGCCCGUAACAGCCUGUUGGCCAACAUCGGGACAGUGCGCGGGCGCAUGCGCGUGCACGCCUUCGCCUUCGUGACACUUUAAAUAAACCAUGGUGGGGUGUAAAAGGGGGACAGGAACAAAAAUGAUAAACCGCUACAAAAAUCCCGAUAUAGACGGCGAGCACGCGCACGAGCGCGAGCUCACCCAGAGAGCGUGCCGAUUACACACUGCUGCGACCGUAGAGUCAACCUUCUGCCGGCAGGAAUCGAAGGAUGGGAUGGUAAACGGCCUGAUCAUCGUCCAACGGGAUUUCGAUGGACCAUGUAACGUUCGUGUUGCGGCGAAUGUGGGAACUUGGUCGAUGAGUGCGUUCGAUAGUACAUUGUGCGAAGAAAGUAACCCUGGAUGGGCAUCCGAGGCAUUUAGCAGUAUCCUCUUUUCCAAAUUCCUAUGUAAACGCAUCCAAACCUAUUCCUUUGGAUGUAGAUCGUAUGUAGCUAAAAGUAUGAGGGUAUCUUUGCUAAGACGGUAGAUAGCAAAUAGGUGACCAAAGAAGGGAAAAAGGAUUCACAUAAUGAUUAUAAGAGACUUCGAGUGUAUAUGACAAACAAAGAAGCACUGGACAAGACCUUCAGCACUAAAUCUACCGAGACCGAUGUAAUAUUGCACAUAGCGAGUUCAAGGUAUUAUCUUGACGCCAUCCUCGUUUUCCUCCACUAAAUAAGCCACUAAAGUGCACACCUGACCAACAAUCUACUAUAGCUUGGAAAUUAAAAUGGGAAUGGCCAACUCAAUUGAUCGAUAUAAUGAACUUUAAUCCUAUAAGACCAGAGGAACUGUUCUCAUUGUGUUUCGAAUUGGACACGUUAUGAACUAGAGGGUUAAUACAAACUCUUUGCGAGGCCACGCUCAUUUUAGCACAAAGAACUCGGAUACGAAGGGGAAGAAAUGAAAAUUAGUAAGCUGUUCUGGAUAACGCUCGCUGGAUCAUGCGUUCUUACCUCCUCUAUUGAUUUACAUGGGCUUAUCACCUUAUCUCUCGCGUGAAAUAGAAAGCGAGUUUGCUGAUCGAUAUCAACGGAUUCUUUGAUAUCUAUCCGUUGUUAGCCAGAACAGCUUAUCAUCUCGUGACUGGUAUUCUGAACGUGGAAGGCAGAGACAGGGAAAGGGGAGAAGAACAUAAUCCCAAUAGGCAUACUCUUUGACUGUCUUUCACAAUUUCAUUGUCACACCUGAGAAGCUACAUCAGACCCAAACAUCGUCAUAAUAAUCGUCACUGAAAAAUAGUUUAACUGACUUCAAAAAGUAGAUCUAUAAGGAAUUGCUUAAACAUCAUAGUAAACAGCGAAAGGGUGACUUACGAACAGUCGAAGCUUCUAAUUGGCGGAUACACGCCACCACCCGGUUACAUUGCUUGAUCUCGACGCUUCGUUUGAGCUGCCCUACAUAUGAAAUUCCUUGCACAGUCUCUAUCCUUUUACCAAACGGAACAAAACGGGCGAGAACAGCCGCAGAACAAAAGCGAGCGGUCGCGAUUUCCUUCGCUAGAUGGAAAGGAUAGAGGGAGGCGGACGAGUAACCGUUCCUCCGAAUGUGGAGCAAUUAAACGCAUAAACGGGACCAGAUCGUUUCGAAUUAAUUACCGAAGUCUGCCACUGAGAUGUGAUCAUCUCGAUCAUCGACGUUUGCUCGAUAUACAGCGAACGCGACCUUUAUAAGAGAAUGGAUUUGAGGUGGGCAGCCUUUUGGGGUUGAAAGGAUCACUGUCACUUCAGGAAUUCCCCACGAAGUCUGGAGACAUUUUGUGUAAUUAAUAGACUGUAGAUGUUUAUGUAUUUAUGGCAAGUUGAAGUUUGGGAAAAUCUACGAAGAUGUGCACAGUCUAGGAAUUAUUAUUACUAUUAUAGAAUAUAUACGUUAAGGAAGAAUAUGUUACAUAUAAAUCACACUAAAGAGGACCCAAAUGUAAGAUCGAAACGUGUAUGUCCAUUAAAUUAAACUGGGAAUAACUAACUUUGAUGAAACUCGAGGAAGGCCAUAGGUCAGUUUACUAAUUCCUCGCGAGCCUUCGCACUUCUUGUGUGAAUCUACACAUUAUCGAAAUCAAUGUCUUUGUAUGAACUCAAAUGAUUUUUAAUUUUACCGUUUUCCUUCUGCUGACGACGAACCGGGAAAAUAAUUCUGAUAAAUACCUGUGCCGAACAUCCAGCGAAGUUUUCGUGGCUCAUCUGAAAUUAAAAGAGAAAAGUCGGUUAGUGACAAGGAGCAACAAUUUUGGCCGCAGUUUGAUUAGGUGUGGGGAACCUUUUGGCAUUGGGAGACAGCACGUAGCUUCAAGGAUUCCUCGCGAAACUAUGUACUACGCGUGCAGAGCUCAUCCCCCAAGAGAUCUAUGGACUACAGUUUCAGACACUCUGGUAUAAUUUAUAAACGAAGAUUCAGGGGUUAAGCAAUCUAAUAUGAACACCUGCAAUUGGGGCUGUCUGCUUUCAACUGUUAAUCAUAGAGAUGCUUCGCGUUGAUGAGGAUGACCAUAUCUGCGCAUUCGAGUUGGUCUCAUCAUCAUCCUGAAUAGUCGAAUCACUGCUAGCGAAUAGUUGGACAUUCUGGGCGAUCAAAUUUAUUACUAUGGUCGUUGUUAAGACGAUGAUAUAGCUAGAUUCAAGCCUAAAAUUUAAUUUUGUGCCAAUUGGAAACUACAUAAUCCAUCAUUCCUUGCAAUACUUAGUUUUCUUUAGUACCUGACCUUUAGAAUUAAUUUUGUUUAGCUCCAUAGCGAAGAGAUCUGUCACCCAUGUAUGUGUAACGUAGCAUUUGACCUACUGAACACAUUUGAAACUAUUAAACCGAAGUAUGAAUCUACUCCAAGAAGAAAAGAGUUCCUCACCCUAUAUCUAACCCGAAUUGAUCGAUGCAUCGCAAGGUUUCGAUCGAAGAUUGUUCAACCCAGCUCGAUCCUCUGUUUUGCAAGGACCGAUCCACGAUUCGUCCGAAUCGCGAUCGCCAAACGAGUUGGUAAUAUAUUAGGGGCAGAUGAACCGAAGAGAACCGGUGGCUAUUUUCGCGCGAAACGUUUAAUUUAGCGUCUAAGCACGCCGACGAUAUAUCGUCCGGCGCGCUAACAAGUCUAACCCUUUCAGUGUCGCAAUUACGUGUCGAGAUUAAUAGCGACGUUUCUAUUUAGCCAGUGGGGAAAGACGAACGAUGAAUUAUUGUCAACUACCCUCCCCCACCGCUUGCUUGAAUCGGAACGCAGCGAACGCUGGACGAAAUUGGCGAAAUCCAACACGAAGAGUCGCCCUUUCGCUGCUGCUGGAGUACUAAUUGAUAGGCCAGCUGGAAUGCAGCGGGUAAAAGAAAAGCUGCAGACUCGAGGAGGAGAACGCUCUCAGAAGUUUGGAAACUACUGGAUUAUAGGGCACGUAACGAGAUGCAUAAUACGAACAAAUUGAUGAUAUCCGAUUAACGUAUGCCCACGCGUUUCCGGCCCAAUUGUACGACACGAAUACCGUGGGUACAAGUUUAUCAGAAAUGCACCUGUUCCUCAGAUGACUGAUCACCAAAAUCAUAUUCUCGUUUCUUCGGUGACGUAAAUCGGUGUAUCCCAUUUCUGUAUUGACAUUUCCUCUGAGAUAUGUGAGAUUUAUAACGAGUGAUGUUUCGUGGCAGUAAAAUACAACGCAUUGCUUUCCUACAAGGUGUAUCUAGUUCACGUCUAAUCACGGUGCAUAAAUGCAGCUCGAAAGGACAGCGUCUCAAGUUUCACUGCUUGAGGUGAAACGGCGAAUCGUACGUGUACAGCCUACAUGUAGGUGGACUUUCAUAGAUUUGAUACGAUUGCGUGAUGCGUGUGUGUCGGAGUACUUUCUAGAAGCGAUCUAUCAUCUCGCUCGAUUAUGGCAUACUCGCCUUUUAUCCACGAUAGUUUAGGUUUAGAACGACGAUGCCGUCAGCAGACCGUUGAACCUCUUUUUCUCACAUUCUGGAAUUUUCGAUUAUUAUUUGUUCGAGGCGACAAUUCUUCAACUAUGUGGUGAUUAAUAUGCAAGGAAAGUGAGAUCAACGCAAUUUGAUUCGAUAAAUGAGUUUUCCAUAGUGUUCGUCUCAAUUCAAAUCUCCAAGUGUCCAAAUCUUGCUAAGGAUUGUCAUUAGGUCUCAAGGAUGGAAAAAUUUGCUCUGAGAUUAGUCACAAGCUGAGUUGCAACGUUAUUAGUAUACCAAUACCAUAUUGUCACCCAACACUCGUCGAACAACAGACUGUACAAGCAGCCAAGCAGGUUAUAGCCCUUCUAGGAGAAAGUCCCUAACUCCAACACUAACCAAGAUCGCGUCUCCUUUCAUCAGUUGUUUUUGUCUCUACCAGAGGUGGUGACUUCCUCCUAGAAAGGCAAGCAUCUUGGUGGGCUGGACAACAACUCCAAACAUUCCACAAUUAUUAUUUAAACUGUCGUAUCAAUGAUAGUUGUCCAAAUUACUCCCAUCUCCAACUAUGUUAAAGAUGUUCUCCAUAAGGUUACUUCUCACUCCUAGACUUUAAUACACAACCAUCAGAGGUCUAACCUGGUAUCAUGAACAACAGUUGUCGAAGCCUUUAAGAAAAACAAACCGUUCCAUCCAUGGUUACCAAAAGAAAGCUGACGUCCAUUAGAGACCAAACACAAAUCCAAACGCCAGCCAUCGCACAGACCGCGUUUCGCGGUGCAUAUUGCAGUGAAUGUUGAUACAAGGCAGAGGCGAUGCGCGACAAUUUACGUCACCAGGCUGAACUAGUGGAUGAUUGAAACGGGUCGUCGUUUCAACAACAGCUGCGUUCGCGUGGGCGUACGAUCACUUCGCUGGCGCAAGCAACCCGCGAGAGGGCGAUCCUGGAGGAAAAAGAGUUGUCCUAUUAGCGGUCAGGGUAUCGUUGGCAUUAACCUGUAGUAACGCAUUAACGACGCGUCAAGUCAACGCGUGACAACGCGACCUCCCUCUGCCGCAUCCCAGCUGAGGUCCAUCCGUGAUCCUCUCUGACUCUCUGUUUCUCUCUGUCCCGCGGUUCUCCGCUCGUCCUUCUCGCUCUGUUGCACUCCCUGCCCCUCUGUGAACUCUCUGCUACCGAGCUCUGUGAGGAGAUCAAUAGGGAUCCUACACCCCGUGCCUCCUCCGACAUGCUGGAGGAGGACAAAGGUACUCUGAUGUUCCACUCGCGUUGCCAGCGCUUCCUGUAUACGUGUACGCUACGCGCGUCCGCACACGCGCCUGUCUGCGGGAAUCCGUGCCGUCGUCUACGUGUUGUCGCGAAUUUCACGGAGAGAAACGGACCAGGGAGCUCUGCGAGCCUAGACGUGCGCUGGCGGGGACCAAUGUAGUGAUCUGUAACGCGUAGACGCCUGGUAGCGUUAUGUCCAUCGAGUUGAGACGAAUUUUGAGACGAAGUCGAGUCGUCCAGCUGGCUGCGUUCGUGGCGACUUGAUUCGACUUUCGAUUCGUUUGUGCGGCUGCGGUGGCCCGUGGUUUUGUGGAGCAGUCUGUGCAACAACCGGUGCAAGCAACCGCGAGUGCAGCUUUCUUCUUCGCUGCCAGUCCAGUGGCACGCGUGUGUACACGUGGGUUUGGCGGUUUUAACAGCCACGCGUUACACGCUCUCACAAAAUUUCACCGUUCUCGCGACCACUGUGGCACACGACCCGUGCGCCUCUUAACGCAUUGACGUCGAAUGACGCACAGAUGCGUCAUUCGGGCGUUUCAUCGCGGAGUCCAGAUGACGACAAAAAUACGCCAUCAUUGGUCUCGCCGGAGAUUUAUAAAGGAUGUGCAUAGUUCACUUUCCUUUUAUAAAUGUCACGAGUAGACUGUAAAUGUUUAUGACAAGUGUAAAUAUACAAAGGUUCGCAAUAUUUAAUAAACAUUUAAUAACCAUCAACAAGCUAAUCAUGAUGUCCCUUCGAAUUAAAAUAAUGUGAAAGUACGUCAUUGCGGUCCAUUUCCUGCAUACUAUUUCCUGUAAAAUAGGAUUACGAUUUCGCUAUGAGAAAAUUUAGGGGUUUCUUCAAGUAACCAUCUCAUAAUUGUUAUAUUUAUGCUGUACUAUUUACGAAAGUAUUUCUUUA
Hylaeus volcanicus is the source of this 6389-nucleotide long non-coding RNA. RefSeq lists it as uncharacterized. NCBI's taxonomy places the organism in Eukaryota, Metazoa, Arthropoda, Insecta, Hymenoptera, Colletidae. The record is from RefSeq and is a predicted model, not a curated record. The transcript has 3 exons.